This 84-nucleotide microRNA precursor is filed under the name Bombyx mori (domestic silkworm). RNAcentral's name for it is "mir-2807 microRNA precursor family". It matches the Rfam family "mir-2807 microRNA precursor family". Lineage: Eukaryota; Metazoa; Arthropoda; Insecta; Lepidoptera; Bombycidae. The record is from Rfam by way of RNAcentral.
UUAACUCAAAUUUGUAUGGAGUUAGAACGUUUGCCUACGUUUGCCACUAUGGGCGCUGUUCUAACUGCAUACAAAAUUGAGUUA